UCAGUUGUGAAAGUUUGCGGCUCAACCGUAAAAUUGCAGUUGAAACUGGCAGUCUUGAGUACAGUAGAGGUGGGCGGAAUUCGUGGUGUAGCGGUGAAAUGCUUAGAUAUCACGAAGAACUCCGAUUGCGAAGGCAGCUCACUAGACUGCAACUGACACUGAUGCUCGAAAGUGUGGGUAUCAAACAGGAUUAGAUACCCUGGUAGUCUACACAGUAAACGAUGAAUACUCGCUGUUUGCGAUAUACAGUAAGCGGCCAAGCGAAAGCGUUAAGUAUUCCACCUGGGGAGUACGCCGGCAACGGUGAAACUCAAAGGAAUUGACGGGGGCCCGCACAAGCGGAGGAACAUGUGGUUUAAUUCGAUGAUACGCGAGGAACCUUACCCGGGCUUAAAUUGCACUCGAAUGAUCCGGAAACGGUUCAGCUAGCAACAGCGAGUGUGAAGGUGCUGCAUGGUUGUCGUCAGCUCGUGCCGUGAGGUGUCGGCUUAA
Molecule: ribosomal RNA, 492 nt
Filed under: uncultured bacterium
Lineage: Bacteria
Description: bacterial SSU rRNA
Rfam family: Bacterial small subunit ribosomal RNA
Source: RNAcentral